AUUCCAGCUCCAAUAGCGUAUAUUUAAGUUGUUGCAGUUAAAAAGCUCGUAGUUGGAUCUUGGGUCGUAAGGGUCGGUCCGCCUACUCGGUGUGCACCUGCCCUUCCGUCCCUUUUGUCGGCGGCGUGCUCCUGGCCUUAAUUGGUUGGGUCGCGGUUCCGGCGCUGUUACUUUGAAAAAAUUAGAGUGCUCAAAGCAAGCUUAUGCUCUGAAUACAUUAGCAUGGAAUAACGUGAUAGGAGUCUGGUCCUAUUGUGUUGGCCUUCGGGACCGGAGUAAUGAUUAAUAGGGACUGUCGGGGGCAUUCGUAUUUCAUUGUCAGAGGUGAAAUUCUUGGAUUUAUGAAAGACGGACCACUGCGAAAGCAUUUGCCAAGGAUGUUUUCAUCA
Molecule: ribosomal RNA, 389 nt
Filed under: Embryophyta sp.
Lineage: Eukaryota; Viridiplantae; Streptophyta
Description: partial small subunit ribosomal RNA
Rfam family: Eukaryotic small subunit ribosomal RNA
Source: RNAcentral